This 253-nucleotide ribosomal RNA is filed under the name uncultured bacterium. Its description in RNAcentral is "partial 16S ribosomal RNA". It matches the Rfam family "Bacterial small subunit ribosomal RNA", at positions 524 to 776 of the family's 1533-position model. The record is from RNAcentral.
UACAGAGGUGGCAAGCGUUGUUCGGAAUUACUGGGCGUAAAGGGCUCGUAGGCGGCCAACUAAGUCCGACGUGAAAUCCCGAGGCUUAACCUUGGAACUGCGUCGGAUACUGGAUGGCUUGAAUUCGGGAGAGGGAUGCAGAAUUCCAGGUGUAGCGGUGAAAUGCGUAGAUAUCUGGAGGAAUACCGGUGGCGAAGGCGGCAUCCUGGACCGACAUUGACGCUGAUGAGCGAAAGCUAGGGGAGCAAACGGG